This 253-nucleotide ribosomal RNA is filed under the name uncultured bacterium. RNAcentral describes it as "partial 16S ribosomal RNA". It matches the Rfam family "Bacterial small subunit ribosomal RNA", at positions 524 to 776 of the family's 1533-position model. The record is from RNAcentral.
UACGUAGGGUGCGAGCGUUAAUCGGAAUUACUGGGCGUAAAGCGUGCGUAGGCGGUUCCUCAAGUCCGUUGUGAAAGCCCCGGGCUCAACCUGGGAAUGGCAGUGGAAACUAGGGGACUGGAAUCUGGCAGAGGGGGGUGGAAUGCCGCGUGUAGCAGUGAAAUGCGUAGAGAUGCGGCGGAACACCGAUGGCGAAGGCAGCCCCCUGGGCUGAGAUUGACGCUCAGGCACGAAAGCGUGGGGAGCAAAAGGG